This 284-nucleotide unclassified non-coding RNA is filed under the name plant metagenome. Its description in RNAcentral is "partial contains small subunit ribosomal RNA, internal transcribed spacer 1, and 5.8S ribosomal RNA". The stretch from base 1 to 53 matches the Rfam family "Eukaryotic small subunit ribosomal RNA", at positions 1779 to 1831 of the family's 1831-position model. The record is from RNAcentral.
GGAAUAAAAGUCGUAACAAGGUUUCCGUAGGUGAACCUGCGGAAGGAUCCUUAUUGUAUAACCGAGGUGCGAGGGCUGUCGCUGACCCGAAAGGUCGUGCACGCCCGAGUGCCCUCACACACAUCCAUCUCACCCCUAUGUGCACCACCGCGUGGGUCCCCCUUUGGCUUGUUCGGAGGGGGGCUUACGUUUUCACACAAACUUUGUAUGCAGUGUAGAAUGUAUUUUUUGUUUUUGCGAUCACGCAAUCAAUACAACUUUCAACAACGGAUCUCUUGGCUCUC